GCGCCUCCUGCAGUGCCACAAUGAUGCCACCCGAAGGUUGCAGGAACAGCAACUCAUAUUCCGCCUGGGAACCCUGCAGCCCAAUGGUAUCAAUGUUGACUUCACCAGUUUCAAAAUCUCCCCUUCCCCCACCGCAUCCCAUUCAACGGCGUAUUGGAUAAUUAUAUGGAUAGAAAUAGCGUGCAAGGGUAUGAGGGGAAAAAAGCAGGAGAUUGGCACUAGGUGCUGAUGCUCAACUUCACAUUUUCCCACUUAAAUGAGUGAGCAAAACUCUGGCAGAUGGAGUAUUAAAGGGUGCAGAGGAUAGAGGUUAUGUCAUCCUCACAACAAACUUCUGUACCUAUUUUUGUGUCAUCUGAAAAUCCAGUCAUAAUGCCUUUGACCCCCUCCUCUAACUUACUGAUACAAAUCAUAAAAAGUUGAGAUCCCAUUUGUCAUAUGCUGCCAAUCUGAAAAAGACCCAUGUGUGCAUUGUGUUUUCUGCCAGCCAGUCAAUCUUCUAUCCAUGCUAGUAUAUUGCACACAGCACCCCCUCAUUCCUUAAAACUCAAAAUAAGAGUUCGUAGUAUUAUGUGGCACCUUGUCGUGUCUCUUCUGGAAACCCAAAUACAAUACAUAUCAAUAGGCUCCCCUUUAUUCACAACACGUUACUCCUUCAAAGGAUUCCAAUAAAUUGGUGAGUAGGAUUUCCCUUUCACUAAACCAUGCUGACUUUAUUUACCAUACCUCUCCAAUCCUUGAUCUUUGUCUCUCCCUGUAAUGACCCUCCUUAAAACCUACUCUUUAGUCAAUGCUUCUUAAUAUCUCCUCUAGUUCACUUUUUGUAUGGCCUUCAACAGACGCACAUCCUAAGGCUGUACAUUCCAUUGUUGACAUUCCAGAGAGGGAGCUGGAAGCUCUGUCACUUUUGGAUGUGGGAAAUAUUAUGUUGGAAAAUCUAACUUACCCAAGAUAUGACAGCCUCUCAGGCCUAUUGCAUUGGUCAUUAAACAGCACAACCAGUGCUGGUAUUAAGAAACAAGUCAGAAGGAAUACAAAAUAGUUUUAUUGACAUACCAGGAGUUUUAAUUUUUAAAACAUUGAAAUUAGCGAAAAUUGAGUCCAAUUUACACACAAUUCUCAUUAGCACUCCAAACACACAUCCAUUCACAGUACAUCUUUGAAUAAAAAUAUUUAUGAAAUGAAAGCAUCCAUCUUCACGUUAAAAAAACAAAGUAAACUUUUUUUCCAAAUAUCAUAUGCAAUGUGCAAUUCCAAAGAAACAAUCAACUAAUCAGUAGUAGUGGAACAUACAGACAGGUUAUCAGUGCAACGUAGGUGCUAUUAAUUCAAAUGCCUGCUUUGGCAUGCAGGAGUAAUGUUAGCUCAUGUCCACUAUUUGGGAAAUCUAAACUCAAAAUUCACUAAACUAUUCAAGUUGUUCAUUUGUGUUAAUAAAUGACACAGUUUCAGGUACUAACUUGCUUCUCUUAUUUGGAAAGUACAGAGCUAGGAGGGUUCUUUUCAUCUUCACUCACAAUUGGAUAGACAUUUUGCAGGGCAAUCCAUUCAGCCACAGGCUGGAUGCUAAUGAUGAAAAUCACCUAUAUCAUCUUGUGUCCAAGUUUUGAAAGAAAUAUUUCAACCUUCACUCAUCAGUACUUCAGGUACUCUAAACACAUAUCACAGCAUUACAGUAUAAAGAUUGAGGUAAAAUUAGGAGGAGUAAACCUAAUGUGAGUUGGGAAAACACCAACAAUUAUCCAGGAUCCUACAGAGUCAGAAUUCUGAAUUUAAGAAAGAAAUGACCCUGUACACCAUACAAGCUCUGGUGAACUCCUUCUAUUGGAUUCUUGGCAUUGGUGCUUCAACUUUAGCGUCAUGAAGCAACCAUAUAUUUUGAAUAGCAAAACUCACUCCUCAGAUGACAGUAUGCCAGUGUGGUGAAACUACAUCACAGGGUAGCAUGAAAGAUAAACUGGAACAAAUGGCACUUUAAAAAAACAAGAUAAAGGCAUUCAUCUGAAACGUUAACUCUAUUUCUCAUUCUAACGCUUUUGAGUGUUUUCAGAAUUUGGUUUUCAGAUUUCCAGCAUCUACAAUAUUUUGAAUUAGUUUUGGUGUCAUUGACCUGAAUAGCUUUAGCAUAGAGUGUGAAUCGUAGGCCUGAGUCCUGAGUUCCAUCUGCUAAUGUAAAAAAUGAAUUUUCCACUUCCCCUCUAUAUUUCAACUGCAAAACAAUAGCUGCAUUGUGAAAAGUGAAAUGGGGGAAAUUUGAUAAAGUAUUCAGUGAAUUUUUGUUUAAAAAGAUGCUGUUUAUAUUGUCGAAGCUUCAUACACUCAAAGCAUUUGAAUAAUGAGCCUGACAGUGACAUGCCUUUACCGUAAAGCUAAGGGAGGAGCAGUGCAUCUUUGACAGCAACAGUGAUUGAUUGCUGCAUUUGAUCACACAUUUGGUCUUGUCUGAAGUUGCUAAGGCAUUUGCACAUAAGUUAUAACAAAUUAUAUUAAUCUCUUGUUUUAACAACAAUUUUAAGUUUCCCUUUGCUAUUACUGGUCAAAUCUUCCAAUAACCAAACAUUUGCAUGUGACUUGACUGCAAACAUAUCAAAAAUGAUCUCCCACUGCAGUAAGCUAAAAGUAUUGGUCCAAAAACAUUUUUUAAAAUUAAUUCAUCUAUGUGCUUUUAAGUAAACAAAAUAUACAUUUUUCUUUCUCACUCAGAUAAAUGCAUUGAAUUUCAUUAGGGGAAAUCUGCCUCCAAACACAAUCAUUACACCAUAUGACAAGCUUUUGAAUUCUGGAGUCUCAUUCUUUCAGUAAUGUAGGAAUAACAUGUUGUAAACACAAUAUAGAUGUCUUAGGUAAACAUAAAUGCAAAACUGGAAUUGCCCAUCUAAGGCUUACUUGCUUUUUCUGGAAUUGUGGUAAUUUGUGGAAAGUAACACCAUGCUAUGUAACAGCAGCGAGGCUUCAGAAUCUGAAAUCAGAAAAUAUUUCACUUUUUAAAAAAAAUUUCCAACUGGUGGAGGCUUUAGUUUAUUUUCCACUAAUACAAAAAAACUAACCACACAAAAAUUUCUGACUCCAUUCUGACCACAGCUCUUACAGUUUUUUUUUCCCCCAGAAACCCAUGACUCUCCAAACUGCAUACAGGGCUAAGUAGAAUUUUCACCAAUAUCACAAGUGAGAACAAUCUUCACAAUGCCAUUAAACAGUGAAUCUGACCUCUCUCCCUUCUCCCUUAAAAAAAAGACUAACCUCAAAGAAAUGGAGAAACAGCUUAAAAAUUGGGCAAGUUUAAAACACUUCAAUACAGUAGAAAUGGAACAUCUAUCGACAUGAUACCGUACAAGCAAUACAAGCAUAUACCGAACAAACUAGACCUAACUGCAAAAAAUGCAAUGAGGAUAAAUUACCUCUAUUAAUACUACAGUAAGAAAGAGAAUUGACUAUUAGAAGGGUGGUCAUUUUGAAAGUUCAGCCCACUGUAGAUUGAAAAAUAUUCUAGAUUGACAUUCCAGUACAGUAGUGAGGGAGUACUGUACUAUCAUAUUAUGAGACAUUAAACUUAAGGCUGUAUCUUCUGUUUCCACAGCACUACUUGAAGAGGCGUAGGAAGUUUUCCUGCUGUCAAGAGUUAUUUCUCAAUAGGGCAGCACAGUGACUAGCACUGCUGACUCUCAGCCCCAAGGACCUGGGUUCAAUUCCAGUCUAGGGCGAUUGUCUGUGUGGAGUUUGCAUAUUCUCUCUGUAUCUGCUGGGUUUCUGUUGGAUGCUCCACUUUCCUCCCACAGUCCAAAGUUAUGCAGGUUAGAUGGAAUGGCCACAGUCAAUUGCCCCAUAGUGUCCAGGAAUGUGCAGCAUAUAUGGAUAAGCCAUGGUAAAUGCGGGGUCAUGGGGAUAGGGUAGAGGACUGCAUCUGAGUGGGCCUUUGGCCUUUUUUCACACUGUAGGGAUUACAAAUCAACCACAUCAAAACAGACCAUUUGUUCAUUCAGAUUACUGGCAUUUGUGGGAGCAAACAUUAUCUGUGUCUACCUCAGGCAUUUCUGUCCCCUCUCAUGGAUUAGCUGGGCAAGGAGCCUCCUCCCUACUUGUGGAGUUGAGAGUAGACAGAAGAAAUCCCUUCCUCAAUUUCUUUUUCUGUGGGGAAAAGGCUUGGUCUUCACUUGCUAUUCCUAAAUUACCACAUCCAAGAACGGAUAGUGUAGUUGCCCAAAACAGCCUUUCACCAUGGUGUCUCAGUUAAUUACGUAUGGAAUCAUGCAAACUGUUGUUAGUUCAGAGAAUUCUCUACUGGAAACAGUUGUGAAAAUAGAAUGGCUGAAUAAAUGGGAGGCAAAACUUUCCAAAGGGUAUGAGAAACAAAUUUAGUGAUAAUGCUUUCAAAGAGCUAGAAUAGGUACGAUGGGUCAAAUUCCAUCUUCCUGCAUUAUAAAAGUCUACGAUUUUAUAGUAAUCUAAAAGACAGCCAUCAUAUUAUCCGCAAUAAGAGGCUCAGAAGCACACUUGCUCCAUAAACUUUUACCUUUUAACUUCUUAGAAAGCUGGACCCAUUUGGUUAACCAUUCCUUACACUCUGCUGCGUUCAGUUGCACUGAGUUCAAGCCUCUUACAUAACAUGCCUUGAAAUCAGAACCACAAAACAAUGAUCAGACUAACCAUGCUCACAGAGACAAAUGGGGAAGCAAAUGAUAUAAAGUAUAAUGAAAUAUUUUUCUCCAAUUUUUAUAUAUACCUGUGUAAAAGUCAAAUCUCAGAGACCAAUGUUUUGGGCAAAAGUUUAAGAAGUCAACUUUUAAAAAAGCAGCAUUUGCAGGGGUUUGCAUGCAUACUUAAUUUGGGCUGCCACAGCAUCCUGUACAAGGAACAGCUAACUGCUUGUGGACUAUUGCUACUGUACAGAUGAAUGUACCCUAAUGAGGGAUGGUCUGCUGCAAUUGGACAGGUUCACCUUCAGUUGUGGUUAUGCCUCCACAGGGAAGGACUGGGUGAUGUUAACAAAGCAUCAAUUUAAGCAGUUCUUAGCGGACAAGCAGAUUCGCUACCAUUGACAUCACCGAGUGUGUGAAGCAUGGGAAUGGGUGGACAGCCAAUGGCUAUCGAUCCCUGAAAACCUAAGGUUGACUUUUAAAAGAGGUAAAGCCAAAAGUUAUGGGUUGAUUUUUGACACGGAUAGAUAGGAUAAAUAUAGCACAAGAUUUCCUUAUCCCAGUUUGUCUCAAUGCUUUGUAACAAUAACACUUCAUUGAACAAGAAGAGAUUCAUCAGAAAGUUAACAUUCUUGAAAAUAUAGAAAAAACAGCACUAUAUUCUGCUCUUGCCACCAACAGACUCAAGCCAAGCCCAGCACUGGUUUCCAAAUCUAAACUGCAAAUAGCUGAAUCUGUUCAAGACGUGCAUUCACCAAGUUCAGACAGGGUAGACUCAAACAUGAGUUCCACACAGAGCAUCUUAUGAUAAUGGUCUGUUUAUUCAGCAGAGUAACAAUUAAGUCCAUAAUGUUAGUCAUGUAUCAUUAGCAUGGCGGAGUAAUGAAAGAAAAUCCUAGCUCAUAAAUGACUCUUUUAAUGACACUAUCCACGUUUACAUUCACUCUGCAUUGUGCCACCUCUGCAUAAAUUUGAAAAGGACAUGGUGGGGUAUCAUAAACAAAAUCCAUUCACUAGGUCACUAUGAAACAAGAAGGUUCAAGAUGCAAAAAAAAUUGUCCCAUUCAGGUCCAUCCAACCUCACCCAAAGCCCAUGCUAUUUUCCAAGUGACAAUAGAAUUUGCUUCUAAUUCAAGGUACUUCUCAUGGUCCUACAACAACCAAUGUACAAUGUUACUUUACUGGAACGUGCAUGCCAUCCUUAACAUUGUAAGUGGCCAGGAUUGUAUGAUUUUGCAAGCUGUAUUGGGAUGCUUGAUGUCUCACAACAUGCUGGCCUGACACUGAGGAGGCCAAUACCUCAGAAUAAUGGCCACCAUGUCACUGUGUAUACUGAUGAUUGGUAAAUGCACUUUAUUGGCAGGUCAAAAUCAAUUUCCUGUCUCCAUACUCCUCCAACCUCACAACUUAAGAAAUCUGUGCUCCUCCAAUUCUUCCACCCCAUCAUUGGUGACUGUGCCUUCAGCCACCUAGGGCCAAAAUAGUUGAAUUCCUUCCUGAAAACUGCUCUUCCUUGCCUCCUCAAAGACCUCUUUAAAAUACACCUUCUCCAAACAGAUGUUCCUUCUUCGUCUUGGCCUAUAUUUUCAUUGGAUUAAAUUUCUGUUAAAGGCAUUAUAAGAAUGCAAGUUGUUGUUGAAAUGUCAGCUGCACACCAUCAAUUCUUUUUUUACUCACAAUCCUCAGUUCGUCCUCUGACAGGUUUUGAACACCCAAGACAUUGAGAGCUUGGUCCAAAUGAUGAAUCUCCAUUAUAUGGCUCCGGAGGCGACGGCGCAUGAUGAAGAAAUAGACUUCUUACAAGAUUUGAGCCACUUGCUCACCAUCUGGCGUGCAUUAACGUAUCGUAUUUCUAAUGGACGGCCCGAGAACAGCUUUGCCACCAAAUACAGCUGGGAGAUUUCUGGGUGGAUACCUUCCUGAACCUUCAAUUAAAUACAGAACAAUGUGAAAUUACACAAACACAUUGUCAGCCUAAAUAAAAUCAGCUUCCUACAUCAGACUCUAGGACGGAGGAUCAUUUUCUUCUGAAUAAGAUAAAGGAUGCCAUUACUGAAAGACAGAAUUAUUGCCCCUGUGCUCAAGGAUCAGGUAUAACUUGGGUUCACUGUAGGAUAAAGCCUUUGUUGUAUUUCUCCUCUAAAGCCUAAACUGAAAACAGCAAUCACAUUUGACAGAGAUAGUAGGAACUGCAGAUGCUGGAGAAUCUGAGAUA
Stegostoma tigrinum is the source of this 6849-nucleotide long non-coding RNA. RefSeq lists it as uncharacterized. The transcript has 3 exons. Lineage: Eukaryota; Metazoa; Chordata; Chondrichthyes; Orectolobiformes; Stegostomatidae. The record is from RefSeq and is a predicted model, not a curated record.